UGCUGAUAGCCAAAAUCUUGUGGCCAUCUCCCCCACGAGGUGCCUCCAGGAUCGUGCGACGGAACGGGCACCGUACGUAGCCCAGGGCCACCAGAACUAGAGGAUCGACCAUAAACGUCAUCGUGUAGCCUUUGGCCAUCAACAACAGAGAAAAAUCGCGCCGUGGUUGAAGCGUUCGGACCACCAUAGUCGCGAUUGAAUUGAUAGAAACAUCACUGUGCCAAGUGACCGUAUCUGCCGCAAAUUUGACAUUGUGUUCGAGGAUGAAACCCGCGACCACUCCACAAAUCUAGGCGAAGCAGGUAACGUGCCCUCUAGAAACCCUUGCAACUCAUAUCCUUCUAUAAUGAGUCGAACAUGAUGUUGCCAUUGAACAAAGUUUCCCUCAUCUAGUUUCACUGUAUCAUGACAAGGAAACGAUUGAACCAGUCUCGCACUGGAAAAAGAUGAACUGGUAGGAUCAACAGUAGUAGAAUCUAUGGAAUAAGCCAUGAAUUGAUUACGGAAGAUUGCACCAGGAACUAGACGACUGAUACCGUGUUAGGUACUACACUAUUACAAGAAUAGAUUUUAGAGAGAAAGAAUUUUUUCUGAGAAAUUAGUAUUAUUAUCUACUUUAAUCAAUACACUAUCAAUGUUUAUAUACUUCAAUAUGAGUAACUGCUCCUAACCAACUAUACCAGACUAAUCAACUGAAUGAUAACAAACUAACAAAUCUUAUGUUAACAAUAUCUAUUCUUCUAACAUUGUCUAUUUAUGCUUUUGAAAUGCUGACUUGUACUACUAUUUCCAACCCUCUUUUCCUUUAUUUUUUUUCAAGCCUUAUACUAUCCCUAAUCAGCCCUUAAAUUUCCCUCCUUGUGCCGCCCAAAGCAGCCCUCGUGUGUGCCAUCCAUGGUAAUGUGUCGCCAUUUUAAACACCACUUUGGAGUUGCUGUUUUUCUCUCUUUAGCCGUAUCUUUCAAGAAAAUAAAAAUUAUUGUUCUACUCGUCUAAUCAAUAUUUAAUUGUGUCUUUUUCAGGUGUAUUCGAUUCCCUUCGUUCAAUGAUUUCGAAAUAGUUAACGGGUAGUGUAAGUGUGGAAGCUAGUGAGAUUUAGUGCCGUAUUAAUUUCGUUUAAAUAUGCUGAUUUGGCCGAUUAUUCUAAGGAGUUAUUAAUUGUUUUACCUACUAAUUUUUGAUAUAAAAUUAUCGUAGGUGCUGAUUGUAACAUCCUAAUUCAACAGUAAGCCAAAACCUAUUCGCACUCUCGCUUGGCAUUAUUUCAGUAUCAACGUGAUUAAUUGUCCUUAGAUGCUUAUUUUUUAAAUUAUCAGAGAUAAUUUGCUCCAUUUUUUUAGAGGAACCAAUUUGCUCUAUAUCAAGAUUGAGAGGCACAUAGAAGUGUUUUUACUAAUAAAAUCAAAACAUGGACAAAAAUCAUAUACCCAUAAAUAAUUUAAAGCAUUCAAGGUUGAUCUUUUAGGAAUUAAGACUAAAUUAACAAUAUAUAUAUUUUAA
RNAcentral lists this long non-coding RNA (1500 nucleotides) under Gossypium barbadense (sea-island cotton). RNAcentral's name for it is "long non-coding RNA (GBAR_LNC016633)". Lineage: Eukaryota; Viridiplantae; Streptophyta; Magnoliopsida; Malvales; Malvaceae. The record is from RNAcentral.